UCCUCUCUCUCUCAACGACGUCAUCCAGGGAGAUCUCUCUCUUCUUCCUCGUGCUGAAUCUGCUCUGAAGUAAAGCAAGUGAGUAGAAAGUCAUUUGUGUUUAGUUUUAAAGCAAUCGGAGGAAAUACAUAUAUAUCAUACAUGGGUUCACUCAAUGCAGGAUGGGACUCACCCGUUCUAAAUUCCAAACCAGAUGUGUGCAAGAGGAAUCAAUCACUCACCAAGGACGAGAUUGAAGCUUACUGGAGAGCCAACAAUGAAUUACAUCAUACCACCACUACUCAGAGUCUUUUGUUUCAGGAUCAAAUCAGGUGGUAACAGUUUGACUUUAAAAAGAUGGCCCCUCACAGUGAAUAAAGGGCAAUGAAGUUGGUCCCCAGCAGACGGUGGAAGGCGACGUGCGGUGGUGGUGGCAGGUGGUCAGCGGCGGGAUUUCGGCGGUGGUGGUUGGCUAGAUAUGGACAUGUGGCAUAGUAUGCUUACUUUAGAAGGAGUGGUAUUGUGUGUAAUUUUGAUAAUUUUUAAUGAUAUUUUUGUAAAAUUAGGUACUACAUUUGGUCUUUGGCCUUAUGUUAAUUAGAUGAAAUUAUAUUCUUAUCUUCCAAAUUAGUAAACUAUAUUGUGUUUUAAAA
This is a long non-coding RNA of Prunus persica (peach), 632 nucleotides long. RefSeq lists it as uncharacterized. The record is from RefSeq and is a predicted model, not a curated record. NCBI's taxonomy places the organism in Eukaryota, Viridiplantae, Streptophyta, Magnoliopsida, Rosales, Rosaceae. The transcript has 4 exons.